RNAcentral lists this ribosomal RNA (196 nucleotides) under uncultured bacterium. Its description in RNAcentral is "partial small subunit ribosomal RNA". It matches the Rfam family "Bacterial small subunit ribosomal RNA", at positions 26 to 231 of the family's 1533-position model. The record is from RNAcentral.
AGCCUGAACGCUGGCGGCGUGGCUAAGACAUGCAAGUCGUACGGGUGUAGCAAUACACCAGUGGCGGACGGGUGAGUAAUGUAUCGCUAACGUACCCCGAAAUCUGGGAUAGCCAUCCGAAAGGAUGGGUAAUACCAGGUAACAUCACCGGAAGGCAUCUUCUGGUGCUCAUAGGGACACCGUUUCGGGAGCGGGC